AGAUUAUUUCUCGGCUGAGGAUCACUUUCGAGGCUAGUUGAAUCAAAUGAAGUGAACUGGUGACAUGCAUGCUUCUUAAACUGCCCUCUUAUUGACAAUUUUUAAAGCACCAAAACAACACGCAGCAACUGGAGCUGGUGAGAAUACCGUAAAAGCUUUUUUCUCGGUUUCUACUCAUGCCUGUUGCACUGUGGACGCACUAGGAGGAGACUUGCAGCUGACAAGCAACACGCACAUGGUGCGUUAUUAUGAUCAAUGAAUGAAGAAAUACAAGACUCAAACAAUCACUGCCUCACCAGACCUGGAUCCAGCCGGUGGCAGGCGAGCCGUGCACCCCUGAGCUUGGGGCUCAGACUGUAGCUGGAAGAGGGAGUGAGACUGAGGCUCAGGCUGGAGCUGGGGCUGAGGCAUGGCUGUGAAGGGGACAGUCCGAGGGAAAUCACUGGGUCUUGCAAGACCCACUAAACGGGAGCUUAUGGCUGUCUCCACUUCGUGACAGAGAUGUGGAUCAAAGCGGGAAGAUCUGUCGAUGUCCACAUCCCGACUAGAUAUUCACCAUCUUUGCUUUAAAAAAUCGGUGAGUAAAAUCUGUUUUAAUAUGUGUACUCUUACGUGGUUUAUCUGUGUGUUUACUCCUUAUGCUUUCAAUGUUUAACAUGCACCCUGUACAAAUAAACAUUUGAUACACUUGAGGUUCUUACACAAAGUUUCUUUUUACAUGAGUGCGCAAUUAUACCUCUGAAUAUAAAACAAUACAUGCUCAUGUAGUUUAGGAACUUAUAUUAUAGCAAAUAUGACAGUGACAGAGCUAAUAACUUUAAAAAUGAUUCCUAUAACUUUUCUCAGCCCUCCACAAAACCUAUUUGUAAUUUAGUAAUGCAAAACCAAAAGUUAUUAAUAGCACUUUGAUUGCUGCCAGGAUAAUCCUACUUUGAGGUAAUCAGAAGAUGAGUGGAAAUCCACGGUUGUGGAGGUAUUUCAUAUGAGUGAUGUGGUCCAGGUUUAGUAUGCACUGUAUGAAGAAGUACGUGGUGUACUGAUAGCUUUGAUGUGUUUAAUGUUCUCAAAAGCUUAUAAAAUAGCCCAUCACCACUCUGCCACUUACCUAUAUACAUCUGAUUUUAUUGAUGAUCAACUUAUUUCCUCAUUUUUUAUUAUGGAUCUUUACCAUACUACUUUGAACAUGGGAUUUCACAGGCUUUGUGUUUUGCAUAGGAACAUUUUGUGUUGUUUAACCAGUCAUAAAGCAGUGUGUUGUGAAAUGAUGAAGUUUGACUUUACACAAGUUACUUUGGAUAAAACUUUAAUUUUCUUUGGCUCAUUAGGCUGUUUGUCAGGUACUCGAUAGUUAACUUUACCAAAUUAAUGGAAAAUUCAGGUUGCAUUAGUGAUUGAGACAUUUAUAUAGUAAUUUACCUAUGUAUAACAUUUAAUUUGUAGUGUUGCCUGUAAGAGGAAUCAAAUAUAUAGUAUCACAGUUUUGUAUAUCAUUUAUUAAACCUGACAUAUUAGCUAUUGACUUUUUUGUUCUAAUGUCUGCUCAGAUGUUAAACUGCCUGUCAGGGUUUAUACAAAAAGGCCAACCUUAGCCAACCUGAUACACAAAGCUUUCAGGUGAUUCAAGAUUUAGGUUCAGCUUUUCGAUACAUGAUGAUGGUGAUUAUGUUCAUUCAUAUGAAUAUAAGUUCUACUUAACUAGCAGUGGACGCAUGGUUUUGGCUGGCAGAGUAUACUACUCCACCCCUAAGGCCUUUUUGGCAGUGGAUGGCAGGGGUCCAGUUGAAGGUUGCAUGUUGAGAGGCAGAUGGCAGGGGGGGUGAAGAUUUGCAGUAUUUUCUCUCUCUGUAAACGUAUACGUGACCAAUCCAACGGCCUCAUACAGCCCACAAUGAAGCAUUCUGUGCACUGAAGCAAACUUCAGCUUUACUGCAGCUACACAGCUAAUACAGCAAAGCCAAUAAUGGGACACACACACUUGCAAAAACAAGUACAAGACCAAACUUUGUGCAGGAUGUCAGAUCUUAAUACUUUUACAACAAUAUUGAACAUAAUUUUAUAUUCUUGGCUGUUUUUGCCCUUUCGGUGUGUUCUUUGUGAGUGUGAGUUUGAUGAAAUGGUAUGUUCAAAGUGUUAAUUCUGUAAAACCUGUAACAUUGAAAAUGCCAUUUAAAUAGAUAUUAUCAAUUAUCGAAUGAUUUUUUAUUUUUUUUAUUUUAAAUACAUGGGUAGCAGUGUUUCAUGAAUAUGCUUCAAAGGCAGAGCUAAAGGAAACUGCAGGGAAGCUAGAACAACAAGUUCCAAAAACUUGAACUUGAAUGAGACAUUCUGUGUUUUAAUGAAUUGUAUAAGAAACCAGCAUUUUUAUAUGUUUUUUCUGAAGAUGCAAAAGUUACGACAACACCUAAAAACCUUUUAAUGCUCAAAGGUAUGAACCGAAAAAUACCAAAACUGGAACUGUAGAAAUAAAUAAUACAUUAUUUAAUGAAUUAUUAUUACAGUGUUCACAAUAAUUGUAAGUAAUCAUUAAUAUAUUUAAUUCCAGCUUUUUUUUUUAAACUUGAAUUAUUUAUGGUUUACCCUUAAUGUGCUUUGUUUAAUUUGUAUUUAAUUUAAACAUGUUUGCAUUUCAUUUUAAAAUAGUAUCAUUAAAAAUGUAGUAUAUAGAGAGAAAUAUAGGGUGCUCCCUUAUUUUUUUUUAAACAAUACAUUUUUCAAGUUCAAGCUCAGGUUCUGUCUGAAGAACCAAAACGAGAAUACUUUGUCUAUAUAGACAACAAUAUAGACAUACCAAAAUAAGUGUAUAUGAUAAGAUAAAUGUAUGUUUUCACAGCAUUGCUUUUAGCGUAGAAAAUACAAUAAUGGUUCACGAAUACACAGCAUCAGAAUAUUUUGGUGUGUGUGUGUGUGUGUGUGUGUGUGUGUGCGUGUGUGUGUGUGAGAGAGAGAGAAAGAGAGAGAGAGAGAAUGCAUGCAUGCGUGCACUCAUGUGUGUUCUCCUUGUUUACUGGAUCACUUGCAGGUGAUUUUUGUAAAUUGUUGUGAAUUUUUUUUACAAUAAUGAGGUUUUUGUAAUAUUGCCUGUUUUGUUCAUUUUUGAUAGCCAAUCCACAAAUAUAUUAAGUGUUUCAUUAAUUUUCAUGAAACAUUUUAAGUUAUUUAUUUGUUUAUUUCAAACAAUUCUCAUUUACAACAUUUAGUUUGUCCUAAUUCUUAUCUAGUUAUCUUAGACUAGUGUCGA
Long non-coding RNA from Micropterus salmoides (largemouth bass), 3238 nucleotides. RefSeq lists it as uncharacterized. The record is from RefSeq and is a predicted model, not a curated record. NCBI's taxonomy places the organism in Eukaryota, Metazoa, Chordata, Actinopteri, Centrarchiformes, Centrarchidae. The transcript is spliced from 3 exons.